GAGUGGCGAACGGGUGAGUAGCGCGUAUGUAAUCUAUCCUUGAGUUCGAGAUAACCCCGGGAAACUGGGGCUAAUACCGGAUGAAGCAGAGAUGUUAAAGGGGGGCAACUUCCGCUUGAGGUUGAGCCUGCGUCCUAUCAGCUGGUUGGUGGUGUAACGGACUACCAAUGCGACGACGGGUAGCUGGUCUUAGAGGAUGAUCAGUCACACUGGCACUGAGACACGGGCCAGACUCCUACGGGAGGCAGCAGUAGGGAAUAUUGCGCAAUGGGGGAAACCCUGACGCAGCGACGCCGCGUGAGUGAUGACGGCCCUAUGGGUUGUAAAGCUCUGUAAGGAGGGAAGAACCGGUUGGUGUAACGGCCAGCUCUGACGGUACCUCCAAAGUAAGGACCGGCUAAAUACGUGCCAGCAGCCGCGGUAAUACGUAUGGUCCGAACGUUGUCCGGAAUGACUGGGCGUAAAGGGUGCGUAGGCGGAAAUACAAGUCAGGUGUGAAAUCCCCGGGCUCAACCUGGGAACGGCGCUUGAAACUGUAUUUCUUGAGUAUGUCAGAGGUAAGCGGAAUUCCCGGAGUAGCGGUGAAAUGCGUAGAGAUCGGGAAGAACACCGGAGGCGAAGGCGGUCUGCUGGGUCUCAUCUGACGCUGAGGUGCGAAAGCGUGGGGAGCGAACGGGAUUAGAAACCCCGGUAGUCCACGCCGUAAACGAUGCAAACUAGAUGUUAGACACCGAGAGGUGUUGAGUGUCGCAGCUAACGCGAUAAGUUUGCCGCCUGGGGAGUACGGUCGCAAGGCUAAAACUCAAAGGAAUUGACGGGGGCCCGCACAAGCAGCGGAGCGUGUGGUUUAAUUCGAGGCUACGCGAAGAACCUUACCUGGAAGUGACAUCAUAGUAGUAGAGAAACGAAAGUGGAUCGACCUUCGGGAGCUAUGACAGGUGCUGCAUGGCUGUCGUCAGCUCGUGCCGUGAGGUGUUCGGUUAAGUCCGAAAACGAGCGCAACCCUUGGCGUUAGUUACAAGUGUCUAGCGCGACUGCCCGGGGAAACUGGGAGGAAGGUGGGGAUGACGUCAAGUCAGCAUGGCCUUUAUAUCCAGGGCUACACACACGCUACAAUGGUCGGUACAAUAGGCAGCCAAGCCGCGAGGCGGAGCGAAUCCGAUAAAGCCGAUCACAGUUCGGAUUGUAGGCUGCAACUCGCCUGCAUGAAGCCGGAGUUGCUAGUAAACGCGGAUCAGCCACGCCGCGUUGAAUACGUUCCCGGGCCUUGUACACACCGCCCGUCACGUCAUGGAAGCUGGUCACGCCUGAAGUCGGUGAGCUAACC
Molecule: ribosomal RNA, 1327 nt
Filed under: uncultured organism
Description: partial 16S ribosomal RNA
Rfam family: Bacterial small subunit ribosomal RNA
Source: RNAcentral